GUGGGGAAUCUUCCGCAAUGGACGAAAGUCUGACGGAGCAACGCCGCGUGAGUGAAGAAGGUUUUCGGAUCGUAAAGCUCUUUCGUUAGGGACGAACGUGCUCUUUGUGAAUAAUGAGGAGUAAUGACGGUACCUAAAUAAGAAGCCACGGCUAACUACGUGCCAGCAGCCGCGGUAAUACGUAGGUGGCAAGCGUUGUCCGGAAUUAUUGGGCGUAAAGCGCGCGCAGGCGGGAUAUCAAGUCUGUCUUAAAAGUGCGAGGCUCAACCUCGUGAGGGGACAGAAACUGGUAUUCUUGAGUGUCGGAGAGGAAAGUGGAAUUCCAAGUGUAGCGGUGAAAUGCGUAGAGAUUUGGAAGAACACCAGUGGCGAAGGCGACUUUCUGGACGAAAACUGACGCUGAGGCGCGAAAGCCAGGGGAGCGAACGGGAUUAGAUACCCCUGUAGUCC
Molecule: ribosomal RNA, 450 nt
Filed under: uncultured bacterium
Lineage: Bacteria
Description: partial 16S ribosomal RNA
Rfam family: Bacterial small subunit ribosomal RNA
Source: RNAcentral